RNAcentral lists this ribosomal RNA (253 nucleotides) under uncultured bacterium. RNAcentral describes it as "partial 16S ribosomal RNA". It matches the Rfam family "Bacterial small subunit ribosomal RNA", at positions 524 to 776 of the family's 1533-position model. The record is from RNAcentral.
UACGAAGGGGGCUAGCGUUGUUCGGAGUCACUGGGCGUAAAGCGCACGUAGGCGGCUUGUUAAGUCAGAGGUAAAAGCCGGGAGCUCAACUCCAGAACUGCCUUUGAUACUGGAAAGCUCGAGGAUGGCAGAGGUUGGUGGAACUCCGAGUGUAGAGGUGAAAUUCGUAGAUAUUCGGAAGAACACCAGUGGCGAAGGCGGACAACUGGGCCAUUUCUGACGCUCAGGUACGAAAACGUGGGGAGCAAUCAGG